GUGGCAUCAGAUUUGAGGAGCAGUUAGAAACCACAAUGCCUGAGUGACAGUGUUUCACCUCACAUCUUCGUCUCUGCUCCAACUGAACACAAUUAUUUUCAGGUUCAAUAGAAGACACAUCAGAAUCAUCAUAGAAAUGUCUCUAGGCUCUGUUGUCAUUCUUUACUCACUUUAUUUAAGUAAGUGUUUGUCCAUCACAUACAAUUUUUAAAAAGUGUACAGUGCACCCUGGUCAUUGAGCAACUGGAAAUGGCUGGAGGAAAGUAGUGUCUCUGUCUGAAUUUAAAUCUAUGAUUGAUGCAAAUAUUGUGGACACGUAAUUUCUUUUAACUUCUGCUAAUGUAUUUUUGUCUCAGUGUGUUGUUGUUGCCAUUUUGUCAUUGCAGUGUCAGUGGCAGGACAGAAAUUGGACACUAAGAUAACAUUGAUUAGGAAACAGGGACAGCCUGUCAUCUUCAGCUGCCAAAACAUUGAUCAGAAUUGCAAUUAUGUCUACUGGUACCAGAAGAAGGAGGGAGAACCUUUCAUUCUGAUCCUCCGCAUACAAAGUGGUUACUGCACUGUCUAUUCAGAUUACAACCAUCCUCAAAAAGGUGAAUUCUCAGCCAUGAGACAAAGUAAGAACUGUAAUUUGAAGAUCCAGUCAGUUACAGUGUCCCAUUCUGCCACCUACUUCUGUACCUGCUGGGACUCGUCAUCCCACAUAUGUACUUUUAUUUGGCUCUGGUAUAAGACUUCAUGUGACAGACAAUCAUGUACAAAAACCAAUAGUGACGGUCUACCAAGUGUCCAAACCUGAGCCGAACAGGAAAACCACCCUGCUAUGUCUGGCUAGAGACAUGUUUCCAGACGUGGUCAAGAUUUCAUGGAAGAUGGUGGAUACAAACGUCCGAACAAUGGAGGUGCCCAAAGCAGAGAUGGAAGAGCUGGUGCAGAGGGAGGAAGGGCGGACGACAAGUAUGAUCAUCAUUGAUAAAGAGAAGACGUACAAGAACAAAUACAUCUGUUCUGUGGAGCAUAAAGGGGGCCCUCAAGAUGUUGACAUACCAAAAGAGGAACCAACUGAAGCUCCUCCAACCACCAUGGCUGCACCAACCACUCUGCAUGUUACCUGUGAGGAUCCAACUGAAGCUCCUCCGUCCACAAAGGCUGCACCAACUGCUCUGCAGGCUACAAACGAUUCCUUCCAGUCGACAUGCAGUCUCAACCUGGCCUCUCUGGUUUACACAGUGAUGAUCGUGAAGAGCAUGGUGUACUGCUGUGCGCUCUCUCUCCUGCUGCACAACAGGAACCUGGGAAGUAGACCCAGCACCAGUAGACCCAUUCACUGAAAGGAUAUGCCCCAGUAUGGAUAGAGUUGUAGUGGGCUGGGAACAACAAGGAUUUUACACCCCAUUGUGGUCUCAGAUUUAAUUUGUGUUCCUUAAAUUUUUUUCCUGCUUUAUUUUUUAAAUGCUUAAAUAUUGUGAGCCAUAGAUUUACACUUCAAUAGCUAAUUAUGACAUUAAUUGCAGAACAUUUAAAUUGAGUAUAUCGUGUUUCCCUCCUUAACAUUUAAAUUAAUAUCACAUUUUACUUUUGAUGAUUGUGGGAGCUACACACUGCAGACACUUGAAUAAAGAUUAAAUUAAGGUUUUCAGAAAAUUAAGGAUAGGACACCUUUAAGGUCGAUCAUGAUGGUUAAAAUGUAGAUUGUUUAAUGAAUGUUGCCCUGCAUUAUCUGUCAUAGUGGGAAAUUACACAACUGUAUUUGAUUUACACAAAAUAUUGAACUAAAUAUCAAACCUAUCAAAAUAUUUUAUUAUUAAAUAUGCAUGACCAUGAGUUCUAAAUAUGUAUCAUUAUCCAAAAUAAUAUUUAGUAUGUUGUCAUGUGUGUAAUGAAGCGUAGUAUAUAUAUUUUUAAGAAAUUAGAGUACGUUUUUUAACAUAGUAUUUUGUAUCUUAAUUCAAUUAUUUAAUUAAAUUACAAUUAAUAAUAAAAUCCAGCUUUUAUUUGACUUUAAAGAACUAUAUUCUGACUGCUUAUUGAGCAGACAAAAUGCUAAAUGAGUGAAAUCAUUCAUUUGUGCUUUUUUACAUUUAUACAAUGUUGUUGUGUUUUUACAUUGAUAAGGCUUGUUUAAAGAGUGAUAUUUUCCUUGCGUAAGAGGGCCUAUCUAGUGAGCAGUGUUUCUCAAAAGAAGCAUAUCCUUUCAGAUAGGGAUGGGUUUAAGAAUCGCUGCCUUCGUGGUUCAACUGUACUGUUUUGUAUGAGGAAACUGUCACCAUAAUAGAAAAUAAAAAAGUUACUUAAAAACCCUAAAACAUUGUAUUUCUUUACUAUAAGAUAAUCUAUUAUUUUUUGUGAAAAUGUAUUU
This 2359-nucleotide long non-coding RNA is filed under the name Oncorhynchus kisutch (coho salmon). RNAcentral describes it as "lncRNA (ENSOKIG00005031148.1)". The record is from RNAcentral. Lineage: Eukaryota; Metazoa; Chordata; Actinopteri; Salmoniformes; Salmonidae.